UCCCCACACUAUAGAUUCAAAAUUUAUCUAUCCAUAAGAAAGUGAUCUAUAUACCAACCUAUCUGGAUCAAUCAUCAUCCCCAUAAUGAUCCAAUGGUUGGGAGUAAUUUAUGAAUUAACCAUCAAUGACACAUGCCUUAAAUUUUUAACUCUUUAGAAUAUGUGUCAUCAUCUUGUCAAUUCAUUGGAUAUUCAUGGACACAUACAC
This 208-nucleotide long non-coding RNA is filed under the name Elaeis guineensis (African oil palm). Its description in RNAcentral is "long non-coding RNA (EGUI_LNC059475)". The record is from RNAcentral. Lineage: Eukaryota; Viridiplantae; Streptophyta; Magnoliopsida; Arecales; Arecaceae.